RNAcentral lists this non-coding RNA (24 nucleotides) under Cricetulus griseus (Chinese hamster). The record is from RNAcentral. Lineage: Eukaryota; Metazoa; Chordata; Mammalia; Rodentia; Cricetidae.
GAACUAAAUGAGGGAAAGUUGGAC